This is an unclassified non-coding RNA of Macaca fascicularis (crab-eating macaque), 148 nucleotides long. It matches the Rfam family "Metazoan signal recognition particle RNA". From Rfam's summary of the family: The signal recognition particle (SRP) is a universally conserved ribonucleoprotein. It is involved in the co-translational targeting of proteins to membranes. The record is from Ensembl. Lineage: Eukaryota; Metazoa; Chordata; Mammalia; Primates; Cercopithecidae.
GCCAGGCGUGGUGGCCUGUGCUUGUAGUCCUAGUUACUGGGGAGGCUGAGGCAGGAGGAUCGCUUGAGUCCAGGAGUUUGGGGCGGCAGUGAGCUAUGAUUGUGCCACUGUGCUCCAACCUGGGUGACAGAGUGGGACCCUGUCCCCU